Molecule: ribosomal RNA, 371 nt
Filed under: uncultured organism
Description: partial 16S ribosomal RNA
Rfam family: Bacterial small subunit ribosomal RNA
Source: RNAcentral
GAACUGCGCAAACGUUAUUCGGAAUCACUGGGCUUAAAGGGUGCGUAGGCGGCUUGUCAAGUAGGGUGUGAAAUCUCUCGGCUCAACCGAGAAACUGCGCUCUAAACUGGCUCGCUUGAGUACGAUAGGGGUGUGCGGAACUUCUGGUGGAGCGGUGAAAUGUGUUGAGAUCAGAAGGAACGCCGGUGGCGAAAGCGGCACACUGGGUCGUAACUGACGCUGAGGCACGAAAGCUAGGGGUAGCGAACGGGAUUAGAUACCCCGGUAGUCCUAGCUGUAAACGAUGAGCACUAGACGGGAGAGGGUUCGCCCUUUCCCGGUCGCAGCGAAAGCGUUAAGUGCUCCGCCUGGGGAGUAUGGUCGCAAGGCUG